AUGUGUUGGAAGAAAAAACCGGGCUACCCAAGCAGUGACUUGCUCAUACUCAAUAAACAGUUCAUGCAGACAGAUGCAGCCCGGUGUGUUGAUGUAGACCAGACCGCAAGAGACGAACGACAAAGGCGACCACAACAUCAGAAGCAGCUCGGACAGAUGAGUCGACCGCGGCAUUCGCAGGGGCGUAGGAAGGGAGCAGCCUGUAGGGCCAGGGCGGUCGGUUCAGAAGCAAGUCACUGGCAAGGCCGCGGCGUAGAGCAGUUUGCAGGCGAACGGCAAGCCGAGGCCGACGAGGUGUGUUUCAGACAGGCCCGACGGGUUCCGAUAUCAGAGGCCGCAGCCCGUGGUGGAACGGCUCAGCGCUCACUUUGGCGGUGA
Molecule: ribosomal RNA, 378 nt
Filed under: Triticum aestivum (bread wheat)
Lineage: Eukaryota; Viridiplantae; Streptophyta; Magnoliopsida; Poales; Poaceae
Description: partial small subunit ribosomal RNA
Source: RNAcentral